UUAAGCGACUAAGCGUACACGGUGGAUGCCCUGGCAGUCAGAGGCGAUGAAGGACGUGCUAAUCUGCGAAAAGCGUCGGUAAGGUGAUAUGAACCGUUACAGCCGGCGAUGUCCGAAUGGGGAAACCCAGUGCAAUUCGUUGCACUAUCGUUAACUGAAUACAUAGGUUAACGAGGCGAACCGGGGGAACUGAAACAUCUAAGUACCCCGAGGAAAAAAAAUCAACCGAGAUUCCCCCAGUAGCGGCGAGCGAACGGGGAGCAGCCCAGAGUCUGAAUCAGCUUGUGUGUUAGUGGAACGGUCUGGAAAGUCCGACGGUACAGGGUGAUAGUCCCGUACACCAAAAUGCACAGGCUGUGAACUCGAAGAGUAGGGCGGGACACGUGGUAUCCUGUCUGAAUAUGGGGGACCAUCCUCCAAGGCUAAAUACUCCUGACUGACCGAUAGUGAACCAGUACCGUGAGGGAAAGGCGAAAAGAACCCCGGCGAGGGGAGUGAAAAAGAACCUGAAACCGUGUACGUACAAGCAGUGGGAGCACCUUCGGGUGUGACUGCGUACCUUUUGUAUAAUGGGUCAGCGACUUAUAUUCUGUAGCAAGGUUAACCGUAUAGGGGAGCCGCAGGGAAACCGAGUCUUAACUGGGCGUUAAGUUGCAGGGUAUAGACCCGAAACCCGGUGAUCUAGCCAUGGGCAGGUUGAAGGUUGGGUAACACUAACUGGAGGACCGAACCGACUAAUGUUGAAAAAUUAGCGGAUGACUUGUGGCUGGGGGUGAAAGGCCAAUCAAACCGGGAGAUAGCUGGUUCUCCCCGAAAGCUAUUUAGGUAGCGCCUCGUGAAUUCAUCUUCGGGGGUAGAGCACUGUUUCGGCUAGGGGGUCAUCCCGACUUACCAACCCGAUGCAAACUACGAAUACCGAAGAAUGUUAUCACGGGAGACACACGGCGGGUGCUAACGUCCGUCGUGAAGAGGGAAACAACCCAGACCGCCAGCUAAGGUCCCAAAGUCAUGGUUAAGUGGGAAACGAUGUGGGAAGGCACAGACAGCCAGGAUGUUGGCUUAGAAGCAGCCAUCAUUUAAAGAAAGCGUAAUAGCUCACUGGUCGAGUCGGCCUGCGCGGAAGAUGUAACGGGGCUAAACCAUGCACCGAAGCUGCGGCAGCGACACUAUGUGUUGUUGGGUAGGGGAGCGUUCUGUAAGCCUGCGAAGGUGACCUGUGAGGGUUGCUGGAGGUAUCAGAAGUGCGAAUGCUGACAUAAGUAACGAUAAAGCGGGUGAAAAGCCCGCUCGCCGGAAGACCAAGGGUUCCUGUCCAACGUUAAUCGGGGCAGGGUGAGUCGACCCCUAAGGCGAGGCCGAAAGGCGUAGUCGAUGGGAAACAGGUUAAUAUUCCUGUACUUGGUGUUACUGCGAAGGGGGACGGAGAAGGCUAUGUUAGCCGGGCGACGGUUGUCCCGGUUUAAGCAUGUAGGCUGGUUAUCCAGGCAAAUCCGGAUAAUCAAGGCUGAGGUGUGAUGACGAGGCACUACGGUGCUGAAGUAACAAAUGCCCUGCUUCCAGGAAAAGCCUCUAAGCAUCAGGUAACAUCAAAUCGUACCCCAAACCGACACAGGUGGUCAGGUAGAGAAUACCAAGGCGCUUGAGAGAACUCGGGUGAAGGAACUAGGCAAAAUGGUGCCGUAACUUCGGGAGAAGGCACGCUGGUGUGUAGGUGAAGUCCCUGCGGAUGGAGCUGAGACCAGUCGAAGAUACCAGCUGGCUGCAACUGUUUAUUAAAAACACAGCACUGUGCAAACACGAAAGUGGACGUAUACGGUGUGACGCCUGCCCGGUGCCGGAAGGUUAAUUGAUGGGGUUAUCCGUAAGGAGAAGCUCUUGAUCGAAGCCCCGGUAAACGGCGGCCGUAACUAUAACGGUCCUAAGGUAGCGAAAUUCCUUGUCGGGUAAGUUCCGACCUGCACGAAUGGCGUAAUGAUGGCCAGGCUGUCUCCACCCGAGACUCAGUGAAAUUGAACUCGCUGUGAAGAUGCAGUGUACCCGCGGCAAGACGGAAAGACCCCGUGAACCUUUACUAUACUUGACACUGAACAUUGAGCCUUGAUGUGUAGGAUAGGUGGGAGGCUUUGAAGCGUGGACGCCAGUCUGCGUGGAGCCAACCUUGAAAUACCACCCUUUAAUGUUUGAUGUUCUAACGUUGCCCCUGACCGGGGUUGCGGACAGUGUCUGGUGGGUAGUUUGACUGGGGCG
This 2247-nucleotide ribosomal RNA is filed under the name Klebsiella pneumoniae. RNAcentral describes it as "bacterial LSU rRNA". It matches the Rfam family "Bacterial large subunit ribosomal RNA", at positions 1 to 2281 of the family's 2925-position model. Lineage: Bacteria; Pseudomonadati; Pseudomonadota; Gammaproteobacteria; Enterobacterales; Enterobacteriaceae. The record is from RNAcentral.